This 76-nucleotide transfer RNA is filed under the name Pseudomonadota bacterium. RNAcentral's name for it is "Proteobacteria bacterium (mine drainage metagenome) tRNA-Cys". It matches the Rfam family "tRNA". From Rfam's summary of the family: Transfer RNA (tRNA) molecules are approximately 80 nucleotides in length. Their secondary structure includes four short double-helical elements and three loops (D, anti-codon, and T loops). Lineage: Bacteria; Pseudomonadati; Pseudomonadota. The record is from RNAcentral.
GCGUGCGUCGUUCAAGGGCAGGAUGGCGCGGACACCACCGCGCAGAUGGGGGUUCGAAUCCCACCCGCACGCUCCA